Molecule: transfer RNA, 62 nt
Filed under: Cavia porcellus (domestic guinea pig)
Lineage: Eukaryota; Metazoa; Chordata; Mammalia; Rodentia; Caviidae
Rfam family: tRNA
About the family: Transfer RNA (tRNA) molecules are approximately 80 nucleotides in length. Their secondary structure includes four short double-helical elements and three loops (D, anti-codon, and T loops). Further hydrogen bonds mediate the characteristic L-shaped molecular structure. tRNAs have two regions of fundamental functional importance: the anti-codon, which is responsible for specific mRNA codon recognition, and the 3' end, to which the tRNAs corresponding amino acid is attached (by aminoacyl-tRNA synthetases). tRNAs cope with the degeneracy of the genetic code in two manners: having more than one tRNA (with a specific anti-codon) for a particular amino acid; and 'wobble' base-pairing, i.e. permitting non-standard base-pairing at the 3rd anti-codon position.
Source: Rfam by way of RNAcentral
GGGGAUUUAGCUCAGCGGCAUAAGCGCCUGCCUUACAAGCAGGCAGUCAUUCUUGAUCCCUA